Molecule: ribosomal RNA, 477 nt
Filed under: Veillonella parvula
Lineage: Bacteria; Bacillati; Bacillota; Negativicutes; Veillonellales; Veillonellaceae
Description: bacterial SSU rRNA
Rfam family: Bacterial small subunit ribosomal RNA
Source: RNAcentral
GACGAACGCUGGCGGCGUGCUUAACACAUGCAAGUCGAACGAAGAGCGAUGGAAGCUUGCUCCUAUCAAUCUUAGUGGCGAACGGGUGAGUAACGCGUAAUCAACCUGCCCUUCAGAGGGGGACAACAGUUGGAAACGACUGCUAAUACCGCAUACGAUCUAAUCUCGGCAUCGAGGAUAGAUGAAAGGUGGCCUCUACAUGUAAGCUAUCACUGAAGGAGGGGAUUGCGUCUGAUUAGCUAGUUGGAGGGGUAACGGCCCACCAAGGCGAUGAUCAGUAGCCGGUCUGCGAGGAUGAACGGCCACAUUGGGACUGAGACACGGCCUAGACUCCUACGGGAGGCAGCAGUGGGGAAUCUUCCGCAAUGGACGAAAGUCUGACGGAGCAACGCCGCGUGAGUGAUGACGGCCUUCGGGUUGUAAAGCUCUGUUAAUCGGGACGAAAGGCCUUCUUGCGAAUAGUGAGAAGGAUUGACG